GGAAUACCGGAUAUUAAUAAAGAUUUAUCGCUGUUAGAUGAUUCUUAGUCGGAUUAGAUAGUUGGUAGGGUAACGGCCUACCAAGUCAAUGAUCCGUAGCCGGUCUUAACGGACGUACGGCCACAUCGGGACUGAGACACGGCCCGAGUUCCUUUGGGAAGCUGCAGUCAAGAAUCUUGGACAAUGCACGAAAGUGUGAUCCAGCGACGCCACGUGGGUGAAGAUUGCCAAUUAGGUUGUAAAACCCUUUCACUAAGGAGAAUAAUGAUGUUACUUAGAGAAGAAGUCCCGGCUAACUCCGUGCCAGCAGCCGCGGUAAUACGGGGGGGACGAGUGUUACUCGGAAUGAUUAGGCGUAAAGGGUCCUUUAAGCGGUUUAAUAAGUUAAAAGUUUUCUCAUAUGGGCCCAACCUGUAUGUACUUUUAAAACUGUUAGACUUGAGUUUAUCAGGAGAUAGUAGAAUUCAUGGAGUAGGGGUAAAAUCCAAUAAUCUCAUGAGGAACACCAGUGGCGAAGGCGACUAUCUAGGGUAAAACUGACGCUGUAAGACGAAGGUAUGGGUAUCAAAUGGGAUUAGAGACCCCAGUAGUCCAUACAGUAAACGAUGAGUGCUAAACAUUCGGGCAUAGAUUUGUCUGGGUGUUACAGCUAACGCAUUAAGCACUCCGCCUGGGGAGUACUAUCGCAAGGUAGAAACUCAAAGGAAUUGGCGGGGAUUCAUACAAGCGGUGGAACAUGUGGUUUAAUUCGACGAUACGCGAAAAACCUUACCGAUCCUUGACAUCUAUUGUUGUUUAAUAUGCAAAUAUUGAUGUAAAAAAUAGACAGGUGUUGCAUGGCUGUCGUCAGCUCGUGUCGUGAGAUGUUGGGUUAAGUCC
Molecule: ribosomal RNA, 879 nt
Filed under: marine metagenome
Description: bacterial SSU rRNA
Rfam family: Bacterial small subunit ribosomal RNA
Source: RNAcentral